This 343-nucleotide unclassified non-coding RNA is filed under the name soil metagenome. RNAcentral's name for it is "partial contains 5.8S ribosomal RNA, internal transcribed spacer 2, and large subunit ribosomal RNA". The stretch from base 1 to 120 matches the Rfam family "5.8S ribosomal RNA", at positions 35 to 154 of the family's 154-position model. The record is from RNAcentral.
GAUGAAGAACUCAGCGAAAUGCGAUAAGUAAUGUGAAUUGCAGAAUUCAGUGAAUCAUCGAAUCUUUGAACGCACAUUGCGCCCGCUAGUAUUCUGGCGGGCAUGCCUGUCCGAGCGUCAUUUCAACCCUCAAGCCCCCGGGCUUGGUGUUGGGGAUCGGCGAGCCUCCGCGCCCGCCGUCCCCUAAAUCUAGUGGCGGUCUCGCUGUAGCUUCCUCUGCGUAGUAGCACACCUCGCACUGGGAAACAGCGCGGCCACGCCGUUAAACCCCCAACUUCUGAACGUUUGACCUCGGAUCAGGUAGGAAUACCCGCUGAACUUAAGCAUAUCAAUAAGCGGAGGA